This 253-nucleotide ribosomal RNA is filed under the name uncultured bacterium. RNAcentral's name for it is "partial 16S ribosomal RNA". It matches the Rfam family "Bacterial small subunit ribosomal RNA", at positions 524 to 776 of the family's 1533-position model. The record is from RNAcentral.
UACGUAGGGUGCAAGCGUUAAUCGGAAUUACUGGGCGUAAAGCGUGCGCAGGCGGUUGUGCAAGACAGAUGUGAAAUCCCCGGGCUCAACCUGGGAAUUGCAUUUGUGACUGCACGACUAGAGUGUGUCAGAGGGGGGUAGAAUUCCACGUGUAGCAGUGAAAUGCGUAGAGAUGUGGAGGAAUACCGAUGGCGAAGGCAGCCCCCUGGGAUAACACUGACGCUCAUGCACGAAAGCGUGGGGAGCAAACAGG